GGGGUUGUGGAUCAGAGGUAGAGCACUUGCCUAGCAUGCAUGAGGCACUGGGUUCAAUCUUCAGCACCACA
RNAcentral lists this transfer RNA (71 nucleotides) under Marmota monax (woodchuck). Its description in RNAcentral is "tRNA.Ala". Lineage: Eukaryota; Metazoa; Chordata; Mammalia; Rodentia; Sciuridae. The record is from RNAcentral.